AGAGGAUAAGGCACCCCCUGGGAAGGCCUCCUGGGAAAUUUCCAGAAUAUGCAACGUCAUCCUGAAGAUUAUCAGAUGAAAUCCUCUUUCUUGGUUUUAGACGGGGAUUCUGUUGAAGCCAAGGUUCUAGCUCUUAGUUUUAACAGCAAACUGGUUCUGCCAAGAAAACAGCCAACCUGGAUCCUUGAGACGUGAAAACAAGACUUGGCUUCCUGACUAAGAAUGUGAAUUCUAAAUACAUCAUCAUCACCUAGUAUGUACUGUGGAAACUUCACUGAACUCAGUGGGAUGACAGUGCCCUAAUGUGGGAUUCCAAGUUUUUAAUUUUCAGCUGUACGUGCCAGCCCUUGGAUUCACAGUCAACUGGGAAUAAAAACAAUAAAGACUGGGUGUUUCA
Molecule: long non-coding RNA, 397 nt
Filed under: Anser brachyrhynchus (Pink-footed goose)
Lineage: Eukaryota; Metazoa; Chordata; Aves; Anseriformes; Anatidae
Description: lncRNA (ENSABRG00000002781.1)
Source: RNAcentral